Molecule: long non-coding RNA, 1352 nt
Organism: Stegostoma tigrinum
Lineage: Eukaryota; Metazoa; Chordata; Chondrichthyes; Orectolobiformes; Stegostomatidae
Exons: 4
Source: RefSeq, a predicted model, not a curated record
UCUCCCCUUCAUCCCCAGCCUCACCCGAAGUCCUGGUCCAUGGAUUUGAAGAAGAAUUUGUAGUUGGGUUUGUUGAGGACUUGUUUGAAGUCGGCCAGAGUGACCCUGUCCGCUGGCAGAGGCAGUUUCACCAAGUAUGGGGUCUCCUGCUCAUCGAUGUGGUAAAUGAUCUUCGUCUCCCCCAUGGCCGGCUCCGGGAGGCCGGCGGAGCCCUGGCUCCGACUCUCGCGGUUGUCCAGCAGGCCCACACUCUUCUACCCGGCCGCUCGACUCCUUCGAUCUUGCAGUCGGCUGGAUGGCUCCUUUCUGCCGCCAGAAACUUUGUAUCCUUCGCGCUGAUUGUUCCCCUUCCCCCGGCCGAUACUUUGUAUCCUUCCCGCAAUUUGUUCCCCUUCCCCCGGCCGAUACUUUGUAUCCUUCCCGCUGAUUGUUCCCUUUCCCCCAGCCGAUAUUUUGUAUCCUUCCUGAUGACUGUAUCUUCUCCCUCUCCUUAUACCCGCUUCCCGGACUUCCCUCCCGGCCCCGAUCCCACACAGGCCGGUCGGAGCACGGGAGGCUGAGCUGAGCUUCGAUCCGAUCCGCCCAGCACUGACAGCGGCCACACAAACCCCAAUCAGACGGGGAGGGGAGCGGCCGCCCCGUCACAGCGCCAGUGCCAUCAAUCCCCGGCACGGCCCAGCCCAACCAUGGCCGGCAGCCUGACAGCUGGCAAACAACCCCUCACCCCACCACCACUCACUUUGCCUAAGGCCGCUGCUGUGCCAGGGAGGAGGGUGAUGCGACCGAUGAACUCAGUUGGGGUUAAUCUCACCUCAUCUCCGGAAUUCGACUCUUUUGCUCGUGCUUGAUCCCAAGCAGUAAUGACAUCAGAAAUCAGAUGGCUCGGGAAGAACCCAAACUAAACAUCAGUGAACAGGUUAUUGGGCCUGUGUGGUGUUCAGUUACUCUUGCCAAUACUGCAAGGAACAGAAGCAUCUGCAGCAGGCAGAUUGUUGAAGAUGAGGACAAGUAGCUUGGUCCCUGUUGAUCUGCUGCAGACACAAAUCUAGCAACUAUGUCCUUCAGGAUUAGACCAGGUCUGAGGUUGAUUCCUCCAUCGUCACUGAACUCAUCUUCAUCUUCUUCCUGAUCUGGUAAAUGCAUCGAGACCACAGUACCUUCUGGAAGCGUCAGAUCAGGCCCCACAACUACCUGUAGGAGGUGUGGUUGCAUCAAUUAUGGCACAUCCACUGCAGCUUCCGGCAUACUGUUUUGAGCACCUGAAUGCUCUUGGAUUUUUGUCACUUGGCAAUUUAACAAAACUGUAUUUUGCAAUAAAUGCAAUGCAUCGCAGUCUAAACAACCUUCAUAAU